Molecule: long non-coding RNA, 512 nt
Filed under: Nicotiana benthamiana
Lineage: Eukaryota; Viridiplantae; Streptophyta; Magnoliopsida; Solanales; Solanaceae
Description: long non-coding RNA (NBEN_LNC005207)
Source: RNAcentral
UGUAAUAAUCCAUCGAGUUUUUUAUGUUAAAUUUUGACCUGUUGAUGGUUAGGUCACUGAGAAACAAACUCCGCUAUAUCCUUCUUCAUUCCGUCCCACUAAUAUAUUCCCCUGAUAUCAUGAUACAUCUUUGUUGCUCCUGGAUGGAUAAAAUAAUGAGAAUAGUAAGUUUCUCCCAUAACCUGUCAGCAGCCCUGCAACAUUAGGGACACAUAACAGUUCUCGAUAUCAGAAGACCCCAUCUCCUGAGAUUUCAAAUGGUGUCUUCUUCUGAGGGGUUGUGUCCCUAUAAUGAACUAACACAGGGUCCUCAUACUACAUUCCUUCACUUCAGUUACUAAAGAGGAUGUUUCCAUAUCCUGAAUAGUAACUCCAAUAUCAUCUGAGUCCAGUAACCAAACUCCAAGACUAGCUAGUUGAUGUAUUUCAUGGGCUAUUUGUUAUACCCCAAAUUUUCGUACAUGAAAGUAUGCCAUAAAUAAAUUGAUGAAAGCUCGAAAAUGAGAUGUUAC